GGAUUUCGGUCAUUCACCCAUUCUUGAGCCUCUGGUGCCAGGCCAUUACAAAACUGCUCCAGUAGCAACAUCUGGCGUAACUCUUCCAUGGUGGUAGCUCUGUUGGCUUGUAUCCAGCCUUGUGAGGCUUGGUCAAGCUUGUGUGCCCACUCCGCAUGUGAGUCUUUGUCCCCUUUUUUCAAUUCUCGGAACUUGCGCCGGUAUGCCUCUGGGGUAAUGGCAUACCUUUCUAAUAGC
RNAcentral lists this long non-coding RNA (237 nucleotides) under Pelobates cultripes (western spadefoot toad). The record is from RNAcentral. Lineage: Eukaryota; Metazoa; Chordata; Amphibia; Anura; Pelobatidae.